UGGGGAAUAUUGCACAAUGGACGGAAGUUUGAUGCAGCGACGCCGCGUGGAGGGUGUAGGCCUUCGGGUUGUGAACUCCUUUUUCUCGCGAAAAAGGCACAGUUUUGGCUGUGUUGAUGGUAGUGGGGGAAGAAGCGCCGGCUAACUACGUGCCAGCAGCCGCGGUAAUACGUCGGGCGCGAGCGUUGUCCGGAUUUAUUGGGCGUAAAGAGCUCGUAGGUGGUUCGUCGCGUCUGUCGUGAAAGCCAGCAGCUUAACUGUUGGUCUGCGGUGGGUACGGGCGGGCUUGAGUGCGGUAGGGGUGACUGGAAUUCCAGGUGUAGCGGUGGAAUGCGCAGAUAUCAGGAGGAACACCGAUGGCGAAGGCAGGUCACUGGGCCGUUACUGACACUGAGGAGCGAAAGCGUGGGGAGCGAACAGG
This 421-nucleotide ribosomal RNA is filed under the name Fusobacteriota bacterium. RNAcentral describes it as "Fusobacteria bacterium partial 16S ribosomal RNA". It matches the Rfam family "Bacterial small subunit ribosomal RNA", at positions 355 to 776 of the family's 1533-position model. Lineage: Bacteria; Fusobacteriati; Fusobacteriota. The record is from RNAcentral.